UACAGAGGUGCCGAGCGUUAGGCGGAAUCACUGGGCUUAAAGCGUGUGUAGGCGGACUUCUAAGUACCUUGUGAAAUCCCACGGCUCACCCGUGGAACUGCUUGGUAUACUGGUUGUCUUGAGCCUUCUAGGGGCGAGUGGAACAAAUGGUGGAGCGGUGAAAUGCGUAGAUAUCAUUUGGAACGCCAAUGGUGAAAACAACUCGCUGGGGAAGUGCUGACGCUGAGACACGAAAGCCAGGGGAGCGAACGGG
This 253-nucleotide ribosomal RNA is filed under the name uncultured bacterium. RNAcentral's name for it is "partial 16S ribosomal RNA". It matches the Rfam family "Bacterial small subunit ribosomal RNA", at positions 524 to 776 of the family's 1533-position model. The record is from RNAcentral.